GGGAGUGGAUGGGUCCCCCGGGGGGCCUUGCGGACUUCAACUCCGUUGGCGUGCGCCCUUCGGUGUGCGCGGAGGGUUCGACUCCCUCGCACUCCCGCCA
Molecule: transfer RNA, 100 nt
Filed under: Dehalococcoidia bacterium
Lineage: Bacteria; Bacillati; Chloroflexota; Dehalococcoidia
Description: tRNA-Sec
Rfam family: Selenocysteine transfer RNA
Source: RNAcentral